CAGCCGCCACGGUAACACCGAGGGUGCAAGCGUUAAUCGGAAUUACUGGGCGUAAAGCGCACGCAGGCGGUCUGUCAAGUCAGAUGUGAAAUCCCCGGGCUUAACCUGGGAACUGCAUUUGAAACUGGCAGGCUAGAGUCUUGUAGAGGGGGGUAGAAUUCCAGGUGUAGCGGUGAAAUGCGUAGAGAUCUGGAGGAAUACCGGUGGCGAAGGCGGCCCCCUGGACAAAGACUGACGCUCAGGUGCGAAAGCGUGGGGAGCAAACAGGAUUAGAUACCCGCGUAGUCCCUGUCUCUUAUAC
RNAcentral lists this ribosomal RNA (301 nucleotides) under uncultured bacterium. RNAcentral's name for it is "partial 16S ribosomal RNA". It matches the Rfam family "Bacterial small subunit ribosomal RNA", at positions 509 to 807 of the family's 1533-position model. The record is from RNAcentral.